GGCCUAACACAUGCAAGUCGAGCGGCCGUAGCAAUACGGCAGCGGCAGACGGGAGAGUAACACGUGGGAACGUACCCUUCAGUUCGGAACAACCCAGGGAAACUUGGGCUAAUACCGAAUACGUCCGUAAGGAGAAAGAUUUAUCGCUGAAGGAUCGGCCCGCGUCCGAUUAGCUAGUUGGUGAGGUAACGGCUCACCAAGGCGACGAUCGGUAGCUGGUCUGAGAGGAUGAUCAGCCUCACUGGGACUGAGACACGGCCCAGACUCCUACGGGAGGCAGCAGUGGGGAAUAUUGGACAAUGGGCGUAAGCCUGAUCCAGCCAUGCCGCGUGGGUGAUGAAGGCCCUAGGGUUGUAAAGCCCUUUCGGCGGGGAAGAUAAUGACGGUACCCGCAGAAGAAGCCCCGGCUAACUUCGUGCCAGCAGCCGCGGUAAUACGAAGGGGGCUAGC
Molecule: ribosomal RNA, 450 nt
Filed under: uncultured Alphaproteobacteria bacterium
Lineage: Bacteria; Pseudomonadati; Pseudomonadota; Alphaproteobacteria
Description: bacterial SSU rRNA
Rfam family: Bacterial small subunit ribosomal RNA
Source: RNAcentral